GUCCACAUCACAGUCCAUGAGCAAGGGAAGCGAGGCAGGAAUCUUAAGCAGGAACAGUAGAGGAACCACUGCCUACUGGCUUGCUCUCCAUAACUUGCUCAGCUUGCUCGCUUAUACAACCCAGGGCCAUCUGCGAGUGGUGCCACAGUCCACAUCCAUCUUCAAUCAAGACACGCCCACAGUUGCACAGGUGCUCCCAGGUCGAUGGACUUCAGACGCGGGUCACUGCCAUCAGGAAACAGCUGAGUCACGAACUCCCAGGUCCAAGGGGAGGAAGCAGAUUCCAGGAUACACGAAGACAAAGAUAGGCCCUUAUGUGGAUGAGGAUUUAAAGGAGUUCGAGUCAUUUCUUGCCUCAGUACUGUACCCUGCCUGGUGUCCACUUAAGUCUUUCAGUUUCCCGCCCAGCACAUUCCACUUGGGGCAAGGGACCUGUAGAGUCAUCCUUGAGCCUGCAUGCCCGACAUGGCAGGUCUUCCAGCUGGUCCUGCGUUUUCUUUUCUGCGGCUGCUGCUGGCUCCUCUGCAGAGGUCAACAGUGGCGCCCAUAUUCCUGCCCCUCCUCUGUGGAGCUCUCUCUGAACCUGUGCAGAUUUGAAAGACGCUGUAGCUCUCCUGGGCUGUUG
This 625-nucleotide long non-coding RNA is filed under the name Cricetulus griseus (Chinese hamster). RNAcentral describes it as "lncRNA (ENSCGRG00015035357.1)". The record is from RNAcentral. Lineage: Eukaryota; Metazoa; Chordata; Mammalia; Rodentia; Cricetidae.